UGAAGCCGGAAUUGCUAGUAAUGGCAGGUCAGCAUACUGCCGUGAAUACGUUCCCGGGCCUUGUACACACCGCCCGUCACACCAUGAGAGUUGGGAAUGCCCGAAGCCUGUGAGCUAACGUAAGAGGCAGCAGUCGAAGGUAGAAUCAAUGAUUGGGGUGAAGUCGUAACAAGGUAUC
Molecule: ribosomal RNA, 178 nt
Filed under: uncultured bacterium
Lineage: Bacteria
Description: partial 16S ribosomal RNA
Rfam family: Bacterial small subunit ribosomal RNA
Source: RNAcentral